This 300-nucleotide ribosomal RNA is filed under the name uncultured Desulfurococcus sp. RNAcentral describes it as "bacterial SSU rRNA". It matches the Rfam family "Bacterial small subunit ribosomal RNA", at positions 496 to 795 of the family's 1533-position model. Lineage: Archaea; Thermoproteati; Thermoproteota; Thermoprotei; Desulfurococcales; Desulfurococcaceae. The record is from RNAcentral.
GCGAACUCCGUGCCAGCGGCGUCGGGAAGACGGAGGGUGCAAGCGUUAUCCGGAUUGAUUGGGUUUAAAGGGUCCGUAGGCGGAGCUAUAAGUCAGUGGUGAAAUCUCACAGCUUAACUGUGAAACUGCCGUUGAUACUGUAGGUCUUGAGUAAAUUUGAAGUGGCUGGAAUAAGUAGUGUAGCGGUGAAAUGCAUAGAUAUUACUUAGAACACCAAUUGCGAAGGCAGGUCACUAAGAUUUAACUGACGCUGAGGGACGAAAGCGUGGGGAGCGAACAGGAUUAGAUACCCCAGUAGUC